RNAcentral lists this transfer RNA (71 nucleotides) under Acropyga pallida. Its description in RNAcentral is "tRNA-Met". Lineage: Eukaryota; Metazoa; Arthropoda; Insecta; Hymenoptera; Formicidae. The record is from RNAcentral.
AAAUAAGUAAGCUAAAUUAAAGCUUUUAGGCCCAUACCCUAAAUAUAAAAUUAUAAAUAUUUUCUUAUUUA